This 77-nucleotide transfer RNA is filed under the name Negativicoccus succinicivorans. Its description in RNAcentral is "tRNA-Arg". It matches the Rfam family "tRNA". From Rfam's summary of the family: Transfer RNA (tRNA) molecules are approximately 80 nucleotides in length. Lineage: Bacteria; Bacillati; Bacillota; Negativicutes; Veillonellales; Veillonellaceae. RNAcentral also lists the same sequence under 4 other names. The record is from RNAcentral.
GUCCCAGUAGCUCAGUUGGAUAGAGCAACGGCCUUCUAAGCCGUGGGCCGGGGGUUCGAAUCCCUCCUGGGACACCA